GCCAGGCAUGGUGGUGCAUGCCUGUAAUCCCAGCAGCUUGGGAGGCUGAGGUAGGAGGAUCACAAGUUCAAGGCCAGCCUCAGCAUCUUAGCAAGGCGCUAAGCAACUUAGAAAGAUCCUGUCUCUA
This 127-nucleotide small RNA is filed under the name Marmota monax (woodchuck). Lineage: Eukaryota; Metazoa; Chordata; Mammalia; Rodentia; Sciuridae. The record is from RNAcentral.